GGAAUUUUGCGCAAUGGGGGCAACCCUGACGCAGUGACGCCGCGUGGAGGACGAAGGUCUACGGAUCGUAAACUCCUUUUAUAUGGGAAGAAUAAAUGACGGUACCAUAUGAAUAAGUGACUGCUAACUACGUGCCAGAAGCAUCGGUGAUGCGUAGGUCACGAACGUUAUCCGGAUUAAUUGGGCGUAUAGAGAUGCGUAGGCGUUUUGGUAAGUCUUUUGUUAAAGACCCAGGCUCAACCUGGGGAGGGCAGAGGAAACUACUAGAAUUGAGAUAGGGAGGGGUCGAUGGAAUUCUCGGUGGAGUGGUGAAAUACGUUGAUAUCGAGAGGAACACCAAUGGCGAAGGCAAUCGGCUGGCCCUUAUCUGACGCUGAGGCUCGAAAGCGUGGGGAGCAAAA
This 401-nucleotide ribosomal RNA is filed under the name uncultured bacterium. RNAcentral describes it as "bacterial SSU rRNA". It matches the Rfam family "Bacterial small subunit ribosomal RNA", at positions 358 to 773 of the family's 1533-position model. The record is from RNAcentral.